UACGGAGGAUGCGAGCAUUAUCCGGAUUUAUUGGGUUUAAAGGGUGCGCAGGCGGUCUGUUAAGUCAGCGGUCAAAGCCCGGGGCUCAACCCCGGCCCGCCGUUGAAACUGGCAGUCUCGAGUUGGAGAGAAGUAUGCGGAAUGCGCGGUGUAGCGGUGAAAUGCAUAGAUAUCGCGCAGAACUCCGAUUGCGAAGGCAGCAUGCCGGCUCCACACUGACGCUGAGGCACGAAAGCGUGGGUAUCGAACAGG
This 252-nucleotide ribosomal RNA is filed under the name uncultured bacterium. RNAcentral describes it as "partial 16S ribosomal RNA". It matches the Rfam family "Bacterial small subunit ribosomal RNA", at positions 524 to 776 of the family's 1533-position model. The record is from RNAcentral.